RNAcentral lists this transfer RNA (77 nucleotides) under Geminicoccaceae bacterium. RNAcentral describes it as "tRNA-Arg". It matches the Rfam family "tRNA". Rfam says of the family: Transfer RNA (tRNA) molecules are approximately 80 nucleotides in length. Their secondary structure includes four short double-helical elements and three loops (D, anti-codon, and T loops). The record is from RNAcentral. Lineage: Bacteria; Pseudomonadati; Pseudomonadota; Alphaproteobacteria; Geminicoccales; Geminicoccaceae.
GCGCCCUUAGCUCAGCCGGAUAGAGCAACAGCCUUCUAAGCUGUGGGUCGCAGGUUCGAGUCCUGCAGGGCGCGCCA